Molecule: ribosomal RNA, 401 nt
Filed under: uncultured Lachnospiraceae bacterium
Lineage: Bacteria; Bacillati; Bacillota; Clostridia; Lachnospirales; Lachnospiraceae
Description: bacterial SSU rRNA
Rfam family: Bacterial small subunit ribosomal RNA
Source: RNAcentral
GGAUAACAGUUAGAAAUGACUGCUAAAACCGCAUAAGCGCACAGGGCCGCAUGGCCUGGUGUGAAAAACUCCGGUGGUAUGAGAUGGACCCGCGUCUGAUUAGCUAGUUGGAGGGGUAACGGCCCACCAAGGCGACGAUCAGUAGCCGGCCUGAGAGGGUGACCGGCCACAUUGGGACUGAGACACGGCCCAAACUCCUACGGGAGGCAGCAGUGGGGAAUAUUGCACAAUGGGGGAAACCCUGAUGCAGCGACGCCGCGUGACUGAAGAAGUAUUUCGGUAUGUAAAGGUCUAUCAGCAAGGAGGAAGAAAGACGGUACUUGACUAAGAAGCCCCGGCUAACUACGUGCCAGCAGCCGCGGUAAUACGUAGGGGGCAAGCGUUAUCCGGAUUUACUGGGU